RNAcentral lists this long non-coding RNA (360 nucleotides) under Vigna radiata. Its description in RNAcentral is "long non-coding RNA (VRAD_LNC004483)". Lineage: Eukaryota; Viridiplantae; Streptophyta; Magnoliopsida; Fabales; Fabaceae. The record is from RNAcentral.
GCGUGGUAGAAGGUCUCCUUUUGAGUAGAGAUGGUAGAAGGUCUAUCAAAGCACAGUGCAAUUAACUUGAAGCAGGAGAGAAAGAGACAGAGGCACAUGGAUAAUGUUAUAGGUAGCCAGCUACAAGCAUUUAGAAUUUUGCUCAAAACCAAAGAUCCCAAAAUUUUAUUUCAAAGAUUUGGAAAACCUCAACUCAUAAAGUAGUUAACUUGCACUAUUAACAGUUGGCUACUUCCUUUCGUUUCUCUCUUGGCAGCUUCUCAAUCAAGACCAACUCAACUACAUCUGCUAUCACCACCACAUUCUGCAAAACACAAUAUGAUGUAGACAUGAUUAAACAGUAAUUAUGGAGUAUCUACG